RNAcentral lists this transfer RNA (103 nucleotides) under Promethearchaeota archaeon. RNAcentral describes it as "Candidatus Lokiarchaeota archaeon (permafrost metagenome) tRNA-Arg". It matches the Rfam family "tRNA". Rfam says of the family: Transfer RNA (tRNA) molecules are approximately 80 nucleotides in length. Their secondary structure includes four short double-helical elements and three loops (D, anti-codon, and T loops). Lineage: Archaea; Promethearchaeati; Promethearchaeota. The record is from RNAcentral.
AGCCCAGUAGUCUAGUGGAUAUGACGCUGGCUUGCGAAGCCAGUGAUCAGGGGUUCAAUCGUCUAAAAAAUUCUUUUAGGAAGAACAUAUCCCCUCUGGGCUA